Long non-coding RNA from Sinocyclocheilus anshuiensis, 1730 nucleotides. Ensembl lists it as uncharacterized. The record is from Ensembl. Lineage: Eukaryota; Metazoa; Chordata; Actinopteri; Cypriniformes; Cyprinidae.
GUGAAACACUUUACAUACGCACCUGUCCGUGACGUGGAUCACAUGACUGUGACGUCAUCGACACCCAACUUUCAUUUCAAGUGUUUUAUGGGAAUGAAAACUCCUGCGUGCUGAAAGAUGGGAUGUUGUUUCUCCUCUCCCGAUGGAGAGGUUGAGAGAGAACCUUUGCUUCAAUCCAGCAAUAAAACACAAACAGAAUCUGCAAGACCACAACGACCAGCAGCUAAUGAAUCUGCAAGACCACCACGACCAGCAGCUAAUGCAGAUGGAGUUCAGAAGAGCGGCAGCUUUACUGCUCGUCGUGUUGGCGUUCCCGGCCUCGAUGAGCGUUUCACUGACGUUGCUGAUACUUUCAACAAACAGCAGGACAAUUAUGAAACAAUGAAGAACCAGCUUCAGACUCUUUCAAGCCACUACCACUGCCCAAAUAACGACAGUCUGUCUCAAUGCCUGAAGAAAAUCAAGGAGAAACAUGAGCUCUGCCACAUCAAUCUGGAGGUUAAAGGAUACGACUUCAGUCUGAUGGUGAGAUCAGAGGCCGAGAUCCCCAGCAAACUGAAGCGGACGCAGGAGAACGUCACCGAGCUGAGCCGAGCCGCCAAAGCCAUCAUCUCCGUCAGCACUAAACUCAACGAAAUGAUCGACUCGCUUCUGAGAGCCGAGGACAGCAUGAUCAAUCAGGUCGAAGCUGCUGAAUCCAGACACCAGGAGCAAAGGAGGCUGGUGGACAACCUGCGGGAAAACCUCAGAGAGGCUCGGAGAGCCAAAGAGCUGAGUCCGAAGUACAGGAAAGAGGCUGGAAAUCUCCUCAAUGAGGCCGCAUUGCUCUCUGCAAUCACACCGUGAACUGACUUUGUCUCUUAGCUAUUAGCAAAUAUGAAGGAUUCUAUACUGUUAAACAGUGAAGAGAAGACUUUAUCUCAAAACAAAAGUGAGAAAUUGCAAUGUUGCAACUGCACAUAUACAGUGGCAGUACAAAUAUACAAGAUGCAUAAAAUAAUAUUAGAAUUAUAAAAAAACAGAACAUGCAUAAAUCCAUUAAUUAUUUAAACAUUAUCAAAGAUCUAUAAAUUUGUCCAGUAUCAUCUUAUUUAAAAUAUAAAUGGGCAUAAUAAGAAAAAAUGUAAUUUUAACUCAUUUUACUGUCUUUACUGUUUACUGUUUGAGAACAAAUAGUUUAAUAUUGGAAAGCAUAAUCAAGGGAGUUGUUGUUUUCUAUCCUCUUGAGCUCUUUUGUGUAUGUACAUGUAUUUUAGUUUCUGAAAGCGCUUGCAUACUUCAGAAUCAGUCCUCGUCAUGUGAAAAUGAGUGUAUAUUGAUUCUGAAUCUUGAACACUUUGCCUUUGUAACAUUUUCUUCCUUUGGUUUAUAUUUUGUAAAUUAAUAAUUGAAUUAUGUUAGAAUGAUUGCUUUUAAGUAAAUAUCAGAAUCAGAAUCAGAAUCAGAAAGAGCUUUAUUGCCAAGUAUGUUUGCACAUACAAGGAAUUUGUUAUAGUGUCACAAGCUUCCAGUACACGGAGACAACAACAACACACAGAUAAUAAAAAUGAGAUGUGAAUAAAAUACACAUGCAUAAAUAUAAACCACAAAAAAAAAAAGAAUAAAUUGUAUGUACAGGUGUGCUAUAGAUGGAAUAGGAAUAGAAUAAAAUAAGUUGUAGGGAUGUACUAGGGUUUAGGGUGAUAAAUAGGUAUAAGGUUAUUGCACAUACUUUAAUUGCACAAUGGGAG